RNA transcript from Octodon degus (degu), 1132 nucleotides. It is a transcript of the gene named LYR motif containing 2, with no coding region annotated. The record is from RefSeq and is a predicted model, not a curated record. Lineage: Eukaryota; Metazoa; Chordata; Mammalia; Rodentia; Octodontidae. The transcript is spliced from 4 exons.
GUCCCCCACUUCCCCGGCUCUGCGGAUAUGGCCGCCUCCCGCCUCCCCCCGGGCGCGCUGACACUGAAGCAGUUCCUGAGAAGGCAGCAAGUCCUCCUCCUCUACAGAAGGAUUUUGCAAGCAAUUCGGCAAGUUCCAGAUGCAUCUGACCGCAAAUACCUGAAGAACUGGGCAAGAGAAGAAUUCAAAAGAAAUAAGAGCGCCACAGAAGAGUGGCCUCCAGUUGGUUCUCCAGCUUAUUGAUUAGAGGUUCACAUCGACAACCAUUUAUUGGUGCCUAAGAGGGAAAACAAGAAGUAAUCAAACUACACUUCAUUCUUUCCACCAAUGCUUUAAGCAGCCACUAUGUGCCUGGCAGAGUAUCAGGAGAUAUAGGCAAUGGAGGACACACCCAUCCUGUCCUCACUUGAAAUGACCUACAGCCUGCGCUUUGGACCCAAUAGGCACUAAAAACAUUCCGAGGCUUCGCCCACGACUGAAGCGCAACACCUAUGGGAGGCAAAGGGUGUUGUUACAGCCCCUGGUAUGUGCAGCGCUGGUGAGAAGGCAUCAUUUCUGGGUCUGGUGCUCUGACUGUGGGAACUACAGCCACGGGGAGGAUGCCAAGCAUUCACAGAAAAUGAGCGGUUCUGUGCCCACCGUGCCUCUAGGUCUUGGCUGCACACUCCAGGAACCCAAAGAUGUGCAGGACACUGUCCCUGACCUCAAGAAGCUUGGGUUCUAUGAUGACAACAGUGACACAAGCAUUUACAUGCUGAGCUAGAAUGGCCAAGUAGGUGCACACCAGGGACACCAUCAUGUACGUCAGGACCCGAACGAGGUUCCCUGGCAUUGUGCAGUGUGGCAGCUCAGAGGAGGGCAGGGCCUCGACCUUGGUACUCCGGGCCUGUCAGGUAUUCCCUUCCCUAACCUGUGUGCAAGUCCUAUUCACUGCGACCCAAACAUUACUGAGGCACAUCCUCGAGCCACCAUUCCAACUGGGGCUUUCUAAAGGAACAUUUAGUCUGUGACAACAUGACCUUUCUGUACUCUACCUUCCCAAACGUAAAGCUGGAAGGCGGGCGUGGUGGAGUAUGCCUGUAAUCCCUGUACUCAAGAGGCAGAGGCAGGGAGACUGCUCCAAGGUCAAGGC